Molecule: ribosomal RNA, 443 nt
Filed under: uncultured bacterium
Lineage: Bacteria
Description: partial 16S ribosomal RNA
Rfam family: Bacterial small subunit ribosomal RNA
Source: RNAcentral
CCUACGUGUGGCAGCAGUGAGGAAUAUUGGGCAAUGGGCGCAAGCCUGACCCAGCAACGCCGCGUGAAGGAAGAAGGCUUUCGGGUUGUAAACUUCUUUUCUCAGGGACGAAGCAAGUGACGGUACCUGAGGAAUAAGCCACGGCUAACUACGUGCCAGCAGCCGCGGUAAUACGUAGGUGGCAAGCGUUAUCCGGAUUUACUGGGUGUAAAGGGGGUGGAGGGGGGACUGCAAGUCAGAUGGGAAAACCACGGGCUCAACCUGCGGCCUGCAUUUGAAACUGGAGUUCUUGAGUACUGGAGAAGAAGACGGAAUGCCUGGUGUAGCGGUGAAAUGCGUAGAUAUUAGGCGGAACACCAGUGGCGAAGGCGGUAUGCUGGACAGCAACUGACGCUGAGGCGCGAAAGCGUGGGGAGCAAACAGGAUUAGAUACCCGGGUAGUC